CCUACGGGGUGCAGCAGUGGGGAAUAUUGGACAAUGGGCGAAAGCCUGAUCCAGCCAUGCCGCGUGUGUGGAGAAGGCCUUCGGGUUGUAAAGCACUUUCAGUGGGGAAGAAAGCCUUGGGGCUAAUACCCUCGAGGAAGGACAUCACCCACAGAAGAAGCACCGGCUAACUCCGUGCCAGCAGCCGCGGUAAUACGGAGGGUGCGAGCGUUAAUCGGAAUUACUGGGCGUAAAGCGCGCGUAGGCGGUCUGAUAAGCCGGUUGUGAAAGCCCCGGGCUCAACCUGGGAACGGCAUCCGGAACUGUCAGGCUAGAGUGCAGGAGAGGAAGGUAGAAUUCCCGGUGUAGCGGUGAAAUGCGUAGAGAUCGGGAGGAAUACCAGUGGCGAAGGCGGCCUUCUGGACUGACACUGACGCUGAGGUGCGAAAGCGUGGGUAGCAAACAGGAUUAGAUACCCCAGUAGUC
This 465-nucleotide ribosomal RNA is filed under the name Vreelandella stevensii. RNAcentral's name for it is "partial 16S ribosomal RNA". It matches the Rfam family "Bacterial small subunit ribosomal RNA", at positions 338 to 795 of the family's 1533-position model. Lineage: Bacteria; Pseudomonadati; Pseudomonadota; Gammaproteobacteria; Oceanospirillales; Halomonadaceae. The record is from RNAcentral.